Molecule: ribosomal RNA, 253 nt
Filed under: uncultured bacterium
Lineage: Bacteria
Description: partial 16S ribosomal RNA
Rfam family: Bacterial small subunit ribosomal RNA
Source: RNAcentral
UACGGACGGGGCAAGCGUUGUUCGGAAUCAUUGGGCGUAAAGGGCGCGUAGGUGGUUCUGUAUGUCUACCGUGAAAGCAUACAGCUCAACUGUAUUUUGUCGGUAGAAACUGCAGGACUUGAGGCUGGGAGGGGCUGGUGGAAUUCCCUGUGUAGCGGUGAAAUGCGUAGAUAUCGGGAGGAACAUCAGUGGCGAAGGCGGCCUUCUGGUCCAGUACUGACACUCAAGUGCGAAAGCGUGGGGAGCAAACAGG